This 270-nucleotide ribosomal RNA is filed under the name uncultured archaeon. Its description in RNAcentral is "partial 16S ribosomal RNA". It matches the Rfam family "Archaeal small subunit ribosomal RNA", at positions 477 to 747 of the family's 1478-position model. The record is from RNAcentral.
CAGCACCUCAAGUGGUCAGGAUGAUUAUUGGGCUUAAAGCGUCCGUAGCCGGCGCUGUAAGUUUUCGGUUAAAUCUGUACGCUCAACGUACAGGCUGCCGGGAAUACUGCAGAGCUAGGGAGUGGGAGAGGUAGACGGUACUCGGUAGGAAGGGGUAAAAUCCUUUGAUCUAUUGAUGACCACCUGUGGCGAAGGCGGUCUACCAGAACACGUCCGACGGUGAGGGAUGAAAGCUGGGGGAGCAAACCGGAUUAGAUACCCGAGUAGUCC